Molecule: ribosomal RNA, 235 nt
Filed under: uncultured bacterium
Lineage: Bacteria
Description: partial 16S ribosomal RNA
Rfam family: Bacterial small subunit ribosomal RNA
Source: RNAcentral
CGGCGGACGGGUGAGUAAUGUAUGGGAAACUGCCCGAUGGAGGGGGAUAACUACUGGAAACGGUAGCUAAUACCGCAUAACGUCGCAAGACCAAAGAGGGGACCGUUCGGGCCUCUUGCCAUCGGAUGUGCCCAGAUGGGAUUAGCUAGUAGGUGGGGUAACGGCUCACCUAGGCGACGAUCCCUAGCUGGUCUGAGAGGAUGAUCAGCCACACUGGGACUGAGACACGGCCCAG